UAUGAUGCCUGAAUCAAAUAUUUUUAGGCCAUAAUCCUGUCACCUUAGGUCGAUCGGUACCUCAAUUUAUUACUAAAUUAAUCUAAGAUAUUAGUUUUUAUUUGGUUUGAAUUCAGUUCCUAAACUUUGUCUAGGUCACACCCAGCAAUGGUACUCCUGGGCCAUUAGCUCAGGUGGUUAGAGCGCACCCCUGAUAAGGGUGAGGUCCCUGGUUCAAGUCCAGGAUGGCCCAUUCGGUGUUGGGGGUUUAGCUCAGUUGGUAGAGCGCCUGCUUUGCAAGCAGGAUGUCAGCGGUUCGAGUCCGCUAACCUCCACUGAUUUAACCUCCCUUCAAUUAAAGAUUAAGGAGGUUUCCUCUGUAAUUGUGAUUUAGAUUAGUUUUCCCUGAAUAAGACCCUAGCUUCUUAUCAUUCCUCAAAUUAAAUUUAUUUAAGAUGAGGCUGAUAUGACGCUGGGCUCACUGAAAUCGGAAAGAUUUCAGAAAAGUUCAGUAGAACCUUGACAACUGCAUAGGUGAGUCUGGAAAGAACAAAGCAUCUCAUGGAUACAUUAUUGCUUUUCCUUGUUAUGUAAAUACUGAAUUAUCAGUAUUACUAACUAUUUAAAAAGUAGUAAUGUUUAAUUCUUGAGCAAGAGCCGAGACUCAAUUAA
This 651-nucleotide transfer RNA is filed under the name uncultured Prochlorococcus sp. RNAcentral describes it as "partial 16S-23S ribosomal RNA intergenic spacer". The stretch from base 242 to 314 matches the Rfam family "tRNA". Lineage: Bacteria; Bacillati; Cyanobacteriota; Cyanophyceae; Synechococcales; Prochlorococcaceae. The record is from RNAcentral.